ACAAAUUUCCCUUCUCCAUCGAACCUUCAAAGAUUCUUCCUUGAUAUUUAUCAUAUUCGCAACAUUAUCAACAAUCUUUCAUAACACACGUCACAUUGAUUGAAUUUAUUCGAAUAACCUACGAAACGGCGGGUUCAAGAGGUUAUGGUCUCAAUGCCAGCGAAUCACGAUUGACCUUAAGCCGGUAUCGCAUUGCGCCGAUUCUUUCCACAUCGUUCGAAUUACACGCACGGUAGGUAAGAGUAGGUAAGAGACACGAGGAGAGGAGAUGGGCGGGUGUAAGUGCAUGCACCCAACCGACUCUUCGCGAGAUUCUAGGGAAGAUACACGGGGUCAUGGGUGGCCGGUGAAAAUGUCACGCUAGUUGAUACAGACUUUGAACGUUCCUGUACCCACGUUCGAUCACCUUUCAAACGAUCCUCGAACAAGUCGAUUUCAAGUACGAGACGCUUUCAAGGAACAAACUGUGGAGAAUACUGUGUUUCGUGUCGCCAAUGAAAAACAUUUCUGAAACUGGUAAACUUGCACCGCUUGGUUAAGGAAGCAAGAUCUUUAUUGAAAUUUUAGAAAAAGUAUGCCAGUCAUAAGGAUAAAAGACAUAGACGCGAUCUAAUUUUGAGAUUUUGAGGUUAUCUAACAAAUUUGUUGAAAGUUCUUUCUGUAUCUUGAUACAGAAUGUGUCGUACGUUUGACGAAAUCCACUUAUAUAUUCCACGUCUGUAAUUCGUGCGUGGAACAGUUAAGUAUACUUUCUACUCGCAACGAAUUCUUCCGUUCUAUUCUGAAUCACACUAUUGUUCCUCGAUAUUUAAGAAAUCUUAAACGUUAUGAGUCACACAAUUACUCAGCAUUCGUAAGAAUCGAACGAAAUGUCACAUGAUUCCCGAUCUUACUUACAAAUUUAUAUUUCUCGUGGAAAGAAAUAUGGAGAAAUAAUGCUGUAUAUUUCCAACUUACCGGAAUUUGUACAUCAGUAAUUCGGUUAUGAAACACUUGACGAUGGAAACUGAUGGAAUCUUUUUAAAUCUUUAAAUCUCCGAAAAUUUUUAAAAUCUCGAAAUUUCCAAAAUAAUUUCAAAGAUGAAGAAAAAUAAUUUUGAUGAAUCUCAUCUAUAAUAAUGUAAAGCAUAAGAUAAAUAUUACGCAAAUAUAAAAAACAAAAAUAAACCACAAAGUGAAACGAUAUCUCGAGAAGGAAAUUGCGAAAGUAUCAAGAUAUAAUGCGUAUAAUGAUCUGAGCGCAGAAAUCAAAGGGACAAACGUGUCUUAUCCUUUUGCGAUAAUUGUCAGCAAGUUUGGGGCAAAAAAAUACCGCUAUACCUCAUAUAUGGUUGACACGUUUGUAUUAAUAAUACAUAUCUGGAGUAUAUAGCAACAGCAGCGCAGAAAGAAGCGAUAUCGUGUAAGAUCGAUGAUAUAAUUUCCCGCAGAAGAGGAAAGUGAGGGUCUCGGGUAACUCGCACGAGUCGAGUUGUUGGCCAGAAAUUCAUUAGGAAUGCACGGCACGCAGCAAGAAACUGUUCGGUUCGAUCGUUACAUAAAUAAUUACGAUUGCAAUUAAGAUUACCACUACGAGAUGUUUUUUCAAUGAUGGAUUCGAAGCGAAAAUAUCGAGUUGAUUGAUUAUUGUUUUUAAAAAAAUAGAGCUUAAACGAAGUGGAAUUAACUCAUCGUUUUUUAACUCUAAUUAAUUCUUUCUUAUAUUAAUUUUCGUAUUCGAUCCAUUUCUAUUAUUUUUAUAGAAAUUCUUGAGAUACUUUGAGAACGAAUUAUUCAAUUUUAUUUUUAACAAAUUUUCGAAGCCUUCUAAAUCCUCAAUGUGGAAAUAUUUCUCAAAUUCUUUUUUUAAAAACAACUUAACUAAUCACUUUCAGAGAACGGCAGCGACUAAACUAAACAAAAAACAUUCAAAGUGAAAAGAAAAAUCAAAAUAUAACAGAUACAACAAAAUUACCCAUUCGGUCUGUCGGGAUAGCUUUCCUGUUCAGGCAUUCUCGACGUUCUGAAGUUCUCUUGCUCCUUUUCCACGGUUGCUCGUUGCUGUUGCUGCU
Molecule: long non-coding RNA, 2051 nt
Organism: Apis mellifera (honey bee)
Lineage: Eukaryota; Metazoa; Arthropoda; Insecta; Hymenoptera; Apidae
Exons: 4
Source: RefSeq, a predicted model, not a curated record